RNAcentral lists this ribosomal RNA (468 nucleotides) under uncultured bacterium. RNAcentral's name for it is "partial 16S ribosomal RNA". It matches the Rfam family "Bacterial small subunit ribosomal RNA", at positions 28 to 507 of the family's 1533-position model. The record is from RNAcentral.
GACGAACGCUGGCGGCGUGCUUAAUACAUGCAAGUCGAACGGACAGGUCCUGCUCUUGUGGGGUGCUCGAGUGGCGAACGGGUGUGUAAAACGCGAGUAACAUGCCCUUGACUUUGGGAUAACUUCUGGAAAAUCGGGCUAAUACAGGGUAGGAGAUCCUGCUGCACGGGGGGGGUUGGAAAGUUUCGGCGGUUGGGGAUGGAAUCGAGGGUUAUCAGCUUGUUGGUGGGGUAGUGGAUUACCAAGCCUUUGAAGGGUAGCCGGCCUGAGAGGGUGACCGGCCACAAUGGUACUGAGAUACGGCCCAGAAGCCAACGGGAGGCAGCAGUGGAGAAUAUUGCACAAUGGGCGGGAGCGUGAGGCAGAAACGCCGCGUGCGGGAUGACGGCCUACGAGUGGUAAACCGCUUUCUACUGUGACGAAGCGUGAGUGACGGUAAUUGGUAAGGAAGCACCGGCUAACUACGUG